AGCCAUAGGGAAGAUGAAAAAUCCUCAGCAGCCCUCCCCCUUCUCUCCAUUCGACCAUUCCUUCGCAAAACCUGAUCGGAACCCUGAGUAGCUGUUGGCGGAGCCCUGAGCGGCUGUCGGCUGAGCCAUCGCCUCGAUGGCGUCGACAGUUCCCGUCGCCCUCUUUCUCUUCUCUUCUCUAAUUCUCUGUCUUCAAUUCUUCCCCAUCGAAGUCGUUCGUCGCUGUCAUCGGUCGAAGUCAUCUUCCGUCAAAUUUAGGAUAAAGAUCCUCCAUCCCUGGUCCGUGUUUUGUCCACCGACCGCCAUCAUCGUCGACAGAUCCUCCAAAUUUUUUGGAUAAGGAUCCUCCGAAUUUAAGAUUUUAAAGUUUAUUGCCGUGCUACCGUCGCCCUAGUUGGGAGCCUGGGGUUCAACACCUUGCUGGAGCCAAGGAAUCCUCUCAAAGAGACCAUCUAUGUCUUUUCUUAUUGCACUAAAGCAUCGAAUUAUUGAGCAUCUGUAAUGAUGAUCGGAUGUGAGGAUCCCGACUCUGUUGAUGAAGAUGGAGAUGGAAGAUCGCAACGAUGAUCACACAGUUAUUCCCAGGCGGCAGGCAUGGCACCGUCACGGAGCAUGACACCCUGACAGUUGACACCACCUGGAGGAUCCGAAUGGCAUGACCAAACGAGCCCUCCUUAUAAGCAAAACAUUCGUGACCCACCCUGCUACCCCAAAUGAAAGUCAUUAUUGUUUAUUUUAUUAUUUUGUGGCUCUUCUAAACUCAAAAGAGUGCUGUGCCCCCCACCCCCCGCCCCAACUCUCAAAUACUUCAUCCCUACUUCCUAUAAAUCUCACAUCCUUGAGGGCCUCUCUCUCUCUCUCUUUCUGUCUCUCUAUCUUUUUUCUCACGUGCUCUGUUGCAACAAUGCUACGUCGUUUCUCUGUUCUCAACGGGUGGAGAAAUCCCUUUUCGGACUGUCCAUCGUCAAACCCUAAGUGAAAGGAGCCGCUUUCCUCGAGAUGGAGGCUAUCUUGGAGGACUAUAGCUACUAAUGGGAUUGGAGAAAGUAGAUCAAACAAACUUGAUACGAUCUCAAUUUCCUCGUCCGAAAGAUAUCACGAAAUAUCGACGAGAGAGAGCGUGGCGGGACUUUGACGGAUUCCGACAAGAUAGCAAUGGAGAAAAAAAAAAUAAAGCAGCAGGCAGCGGCUGGGAGGAGAGGAAACAACAGGGCCGGCGCGAGUGCUCGAUCGAAGGCGGACAUUGGCCAGGCCGGUCUGAAUGAAGUUUGGACUGGUCCGAAUUUUGGUGGUACUGACAGGUCCAGGGGCAUUGGGCCAUAAGAGGUGGGGGAAUAUCAAGUCUUGAGAAAAUGGUCAAGCUGUCAAGCACAAGCACACAGGCAAUGUUUUGUUAGGGAUGGUUAAGUUUGAAUGAAAAUGAAUAACUUCUGUGCUAUAUUUGAUUGAAGGGAGUCUUAUUUUUAUUUUCAAUCUAGGAGAAAAUUGAAUUGUCUUGAUUUUUC
Long non-coding RNA from Elaeis guineensis (African oil palm), 1505 nucleotides. RefSeq lists it as uncharacterized. The record is from RefSeq and is a predicted model, not a curated record. Lineage: Eukaryota; Viridiplantae; Streptophyta; Magnoliopsida; Arecales; Arecaceae.